GAGCGUGAUGAUAUGAUUUUUUGUCGCCCCAGUCUUAGGAUCCGUAUUCCGGACCUGUGCUGAUUGACAUGUUAUCAGAUCUGACUC
Molecule: small nucleolar RNA, 87 nt
Filed under: Oryza brachyantha (malo sina)
Lineage: Eukaryota; Viridiplantae; Streptophyta; Magnoliopsida; Poales; Poaceae
Description: snoRNA snoU31b
Rfam family: Small nucleolar RNA U31b
Source: Rfam by way of RNAcentral